CUACGGGCUGCUGCAGUGAGGAAUUUUGCGCAAUGGGGGAAACCCUGACGCAGCAACGCCGCGUGAGCGAAGAAGGCUUUCGGGUCGUAAAGCUCUGUCAGAUAGGAAAAAAGUUCAUAUGUAAAUAGCUUAUGAAUCUGAUGGUACUAUCAGAGGAAGCACCGGCUAACUCCGUGCCAGCAGCCGCGGUAAUACGGAGGGGCAAGCGUUGUUCGGAAUUACUGGGCGUAAAGGGCGUGUAGGCGGUAGGGUAAGUCAGAUGUGAAAGCCCUGGACUUAACUCAGGAAGUGCAUUUGAUACUGCCAUCCUUGAGUAUGGGAGAGGAGAGUAGAAUUCCCAGUGUAGAGGUGAAAUUCGUAGAUAUUGGGAGGAAUACCCGUGGCGAAGGCGACUCUCUGGACCAAUACUGACGCUGAGACGCGAAAGCGUGGGGAGCAAACAGGAUUAGAUACCCGUGUAGUC
This 463-nucleotide ribosomal RNA is filed under the name uncultured bacterium. RNAcentral describes it as "partial 16S ribosomal RNA". It matches the Rfam family "Bacterial small subunit ribosomal RNA", at positions 339 to 795 of the family's 1533-position model. The record is from RNAcentral.